UUCCCCCCAAAAAAAAAAAGGGGGGUCGGGUCGAGCAAAGUCGGAAUGCGGACAUACGAGCGAAAGAGAAGUCUACAUGAAUCAUUUCUCAUCUUCAUCGAUACAAGAAAUUUCGUAGAGAUAUUCCAGUCGAUCACGGACAACCGUGGUUCAGAGUCGCCACUGUUUCGUUGCUCCGUACUGUGAUCCCUCAUGGAGCCGAGGC
Long non-coding RNA from Rhodamnia argentea, 205 nucleotides. RefSeq lists it as uncharacterized. The record is from RefSeq and is a predicted model, not a curated record. Lineage: Eukaryota; Viridiplantae; Streptophyta; Magnoliopsida; Myrtales; Myrtaceae. The transcript has 3 exons.